ACUUAAGGGUGCACCACCGGAGAUUAGUAGGCGAAGACGGCCACCGAGCCUUGCCUUGACCUAAAGCAAGGAAAUGCAACAAAAAAAAAGGUAAAAUCCGGGACGGUUGUCCAACCACAACCUAAUCCCUCUUCCACGCGCAUCGGUUUGCGGACGAACCAGAGGUACUGAGAUCAUGGUGUAUAGGAAGUCAGAAACUGCCAAGAGUCACGCGGAAGGGUAGCACAAACAAUUUAGCACUGAUCUUCUGAAUACCAGAGGACGGAGACGCAGCCCAUCAGCUUCACUUGGCACUUUUAGUUGGAAGGACCCCGUUCGAGUAAAGUCUGAACCUACCAAGCUCUACCGAUUGAAUGAGCCAAUCGUACGACAAAAAGAUAAAAAAAAAAUGAGCUCAGAAAAGCCUUGCUGUCCGCUCACUAGCUCUACCGGUAACCUGACCUUUGAUGCAGCUGGCGAAGUUCGCAUUGGAUGUCCCCAGCCAGGCAGCAGGUACCCACAUUGAUCGCACUUACCUACCACUCCAUUUCAUUUCCUAGCCAUGGCAGCAUUACUACUAUUAUGAAAUGGCAUUGCUUCUUUAAAAAAAAAUAUCAAAUGGUAUUGUUUCUGGUAUGGCGGCUAAGACCGAAUUUGCUCGAACCGACCAAAAUCAGAUCUCACCCGGCACACACACAGCCAUCACAAAUUAGUUGUUCACAGUGUGUACGUUGGUUAAGCAAAUUAACUCGGCUGAUACUGUAAAAUGAUUGUGCAGUUUCGCAAAGAAGAAAAGAAAAGAUUGUGUAGUUGCUAGAAAAGCAUGCUCUUGGCUUCUAGUAUUCCAGGCAGGAACGGUGGUUGACCGAUGAGUGACAGAGGCCGUGUCACCUAAUCCUGAUUCCGUCAACCAACUUGACCUGGACCUUGACGUCCUCUUAAUAGGCGGCUGGGUCUCUUAAACUCUGGCUUGAAAACUAUCGUCAACAAGUUGACGUUUGUUGCUAGAUCUUGUAUUUGUAUGUUUUAUAUAUAUAGAUAGAAGCAACUCGUUCUUCUAUGAGGGAUGCAAGAGAAUCUUUCAAACUUGCAUCCGAAAUGUGAAAUAUUCAUACGGAAGGAA
Molecule: long non-coding RNA, 1102 nt
Organism: Aegilops tauschii subsp. strangulata
Lineage: Eukaryota; Viridiplantae; Streptophyta; Magnoliopsida; Poales; Poaceae
Source: RefSeq, a predicted model, not a curated record